CAGGGAAUCUUCGGCAAUGGACGAAAGUCUGACCGAGCAACGCCGCGUGUGUGAAGAAGGUUUUCGGAUCGUAAAACUCUGUUGUUAGAGAAGAACAAGGACGUUAGUAACUGAACGUCCCCUGACGGUAUCUAACCAGAAAGCCACGGCUAACUACGUGCCAGCAGCCGCGGUAAUACGUAGGUGGCAAGUGUUGUCCGGAUUUAUUGGGCGUAAAGCGAGCGCAGGCGGUUUCUUAAGUCUGAUGUGAAAGCCCCCGGCUCAACCGGGGAGGGUCAUUGGAAACUGGGAGACUUGAGUGCAGAAGAGGAUAGUGGAAUUCCAUGUGUAGCGGUGAAAUGCGUAGAUAUAUGGAGGAACACCAGUGGCGAAGGCGGCUCUCUGGUCUGUAACUGACGCUGAGGCUCGAAAGCGUGGGGAGCAAACAGG
This 429-nucleotide ribosomal RNA is filed under the name Gemmatimonadota bacterium. Its description in RNAcentral is "Gemmatimonadetes bacterium partial 16S ribosomal RNA". It matches the Rfam family "Bacterial small subunit ribosomal RNA", at positions 355 to 776 of the family's 1533-position model. The record is from RNAcentral. Lineage: Bacteria; Pseudomonadati; Gemmatimonadota.